AUUGAACGCUGGCGGCAUGCCUUACACAUGCAAGUCGAACGGCAGCACGGGUGCUUGCACCUGGUGGCGAGUGGCGAACGGGUGAGUAAUAUAUCGGAACGUACCUUAUUGUGGGGGAUAACGCAGCGAAAGCUGUGCUAAUACCGCAUAAUCCCUACGGGGGAAAGCGGGGGACCGUAAGGCCUCGCGCAAUUAGAGCGGCCGAUACCUGAUUAGCUAGUUGGUGAGGUAAAGGCUCACCAAGGCAACGAUCAGUAGCUGGUCUGAGAGGACGAUCAGCCGCACUGGGACUGAGACACGGCCCAGACUCCUACGGGAGGCAGCAGCGGGGAAUUUUGGACAAUGGGGGCAACCCUGAUCCAGCAAUGCCGCGUGAGUGAAGAAGGCCUUCGGGUUGUAAAGCUCUUUUGUCAGGGAAGAAACAGCAGCUCUAACACAGUAUGCGAAUGACGGUACCUGAAGAAUAAGCACCGGCUAACUACGUGCCAGCCGCCGCAGUAA
RNAcentral lists this ribosomal RNA (501 nucleotides) under uncultured bacterium. Its description in RNAcentral is "partial 16S ribosomal RNA". It matches the Rfam family "Bacterial small subunit ribosomal RNA", at positions 30 to 523 of the family's 1533-position model. The record is from RNAcentral.